Molecule: ribosomal RNA, 496 nt
Filed under: uncultured bacterium
Lineage: Bacteria
Description: partial 16S ribosomal RNA
Rfam family: Bacterial small subunit ribosomal RNA
Source: RNAcentral
AUGAACGCUGGCGGCGUGCCUAAUACAUGCAAGUCGAGCGAACAGAUGAGGAGCUUGCUCCUCUGACGUUAGCGGCGGACGGGUGAGUAACACGUGGAUAACCUACCUAUAACACUGGGAUAACUUCGGGAAACCGGAGCUAAUACCGGAUAAUAUAUUGAACCGCAUGGUUCAAUAGUGAAAGACGGUUUUGCUGUCACUUAUAGAUGGAUCCGCGCCGCAUUAGCUAGUUGGUAAGGUAACGGCUUACCAAGGCAACGAUGCGUAGCCGACCUGAGAGGGUGAUCGGCCACACUGGAACUGAGACACGGUCCAGACUCCUACGGGAGGCAGCAGUAGGGAAUCUUCCGCAAUGGGCGAAAGCUUGACGGAGCAACGCCGCGUGAGUGAUGAAGGUCUUCGGAUCGUAAAACCCUGUUAUUAGGGAAGAACAAAUGUGUAAGUAACUAUGCACGUCUUGACGGUACCUAAUCAGAAAGCCACGGCUAACUACGUG